This 312-nucleotide ribosomal RNA is filed under the name Triticum aestivum (bread wheat). Its description in RNAcentral is "partial small subunit ribosomal RNA". The record is from RNAcentral. Lineage: Eukaryota; Viridiplantae; Streptophyta; Magnoliopsida; Poales; Poaceae.
AUGCCAAAAGAAUAUCUUAUAUCAUUUUUGAUCAGUUGCUUACAUGUGAUUGUUGUCUUCCACCACAUGGAUUUGGAUCUUGGUGCUCAUCUUAUGCAAGUCAUACGGGAUUACUUAUUCCAAAUAUUGUGUCAAUUGCAAUGUUUUCAUCUUAAGAUCAUAUAUCUACCACGUAAAAAAAGUUAUUCCAUUUAUGUAUUACCAUGUGUAUAUGAUUAUGAGUUCCCGCAGCAACGCGCGGGGUAUCAUCUAGUAGAAUAUGAUAAUGGAGGUUGUGUGGAGAAGACAAAAAAGGAGAAAGUCUCACAUUGA